This 110-nucleotide ribosomal RNA is filed under the name bacterium. The record is from RNAcentral.
CCUCGGUGAUACAGUUUAUGGUGUCCUACCCGUUCCCAUUCCGAACACGGAAGUAAAAGCCAUAAACGCCAAUGAUAGUCCUUCGGGGCGAAAGUAGGCUUUGCCGGGGA